RNAcentral lists this ribosomal RNA (247 nucleotides) under uncultured bacterium. RNAcentral describes it as "partial 16S ribosomal RNA". It matches the Rfam family "Bacterial small subunit ribosomal RNA", at positions 86 to 334 of the family's 1533-position model. The record is from RNAcentral.
AGAUGGCGACCGGCGCACGGGUGAGUAACACGUAUCCAACCUGCCGAUAACUCGGGGAUAGCCUUUCGAAAGAAAGAUUAAUACCCGAUGGUAUAAUCAGACCGCAUGGUUUGAUUAUUAAAGAAUUUCGGUUAUCGAUGGGGAUGCGUUCCAUUAGGCAGUUGGUGAGGUAACGGCUCACCAAACCUUCGAUGGAUAGGGGUUCUGAGAGGAAGGUCCCCUACAUUGGAACUGAGACACGGUCCAA